CCUAGAGUUGUGGGCUUUGCCUGCUAUCUCUUACCCAUGUCUUUUGAGCACUUACGUUUCCUCGGCGGGUCCGCCCGCCGAUUGGACAUUAUAAACCCUUUGCAGUUGCAAUCAGCGUCUGAAAAACUUAAUAGUUA
This 137-nucleotide unclassified non-coding RNA is filed under the name uncultured fungus. RNAcentral's name for it is "sequence contains ITS1". The record is from RNAcentral. Lineage: Eukaryota; Fungi.